RNAcentral lists this ribosomal RNA (1443 nucleotides) under Klebsiella variicola. RNAcentral's name for it is "bacterial SSU rRNA". It matches the Rfam family "Bacterial small subunit ribosomal RNA". Lineage: Bacteria; Pseudomonadati; Pseudomonadota; Gammaproteobacteria; Enterobacterales; Enterobacteriaceae. The record is from RNAcentral.
AGGCGGCAGUCUACACAUGCAAGUCGAGCGGUAGCACAGAGAGCUUGCUCUCGGGUGACGAGCGGCGGACGGGUGAGUAAUGUCUGGGAAACUGCCUGAUGGAGGGGGAUAACUACUGGAAACGGUAGCUAAUACCGCAUAACGUCGCAAGACCAAAGUGGGGGACCUUCGGGCCUCAUGCCAUCAGAUGUGCCCAGAUGGGAUUAGCUGGUAGGUGGGGUAACGGCUCACCUAGGCGACGAUCCCUAGCUGGUCUGAGAGGAUGACCAGCCACACUGGAACUGAGACACGGUCCAGACUCCUACGGGAGGCAGCAGUGGGGAAUAUUGCACAAUGGGCGCAAGCCUGAUGCAGCCAUGCCGCGUGUGUGAAGAAGGCCUUCGGGUUGUAAAGCACUUUCAGCGGGGAGGAAGGCGGUGAGGUUAAUAACCUUAUCGAUUGACGUUACCCGCAGAAGAAGCACCGGCUAACUCCGUGCCAGCAGCCGCGGUAAUACGGAGGGUGCAAGCGUUAAUCGGAAUUACUGGGCGUAAAGCGCACGCAGGCGGUCUGUCAAGUCGGAUGUGAAAUCCCCGGGCUCAACCUGGGAACUGCAUUCGAAACUGGCAGGCUAGAGUCUUGUAGAGGGGGGUAGAAUUCCAGGUGUAGCGGUGAAAUGCGUAGAGAUCUGGAGGAAUACCGGUGGCGAAGGCGGCCCCCUGGACAAAGACUGACGCUCAGGUGCGAAAGCGUGGGGAGCAAACAGGAUUAGAUACCCUGGUAGUCCACGCUGUAAACGAUGUCGAUUUGGAGGUUGUGCCCUUGAGGCGUGGCUUCCGGAGCUAACGCGUUAAAUCGACCGCCUGGGGAGUACGGCCGCAAGGUUAAAACUCAAAUGAAUUGACGGGGGCCCGCACAAGCGGUGGAGCAUGUGGUUUAAUUCGAUGCAACGCGAAGAACCUUACCUGGUCUUGACAUCCACAGAACUUUCCAGAGAUGGAUUGGUGCCUUCGGGACCUGUGAGACAGGUGCUGCAUGGCUGUCGUCAGCUCGUGUUGUGAAAUGUUGGGUUAAGUCCCGCAACGAGCGCAACCCUUAUCCUUUGUUGCCAGCGGUUAGGCCGGGAACUCAAAGGAGACUGCCAGUGAUAAACUGGAGGAAGGUGGGGAUGACGUCAAGUCAUCAUGGCCCUUACGACCAGGGCUACACACGUGCUACAAUGGCAUAUACAAAGAGAAGCGACCUCGCGAGAGCAAGCGGACCUCAUAAAGUAUGUCGUAGUCCGGAUUGGAGUCUGCAACUCGACUCCAUGAAGUCGGAAUCGCUAGUAAUCGUAGAUCAGAAUGCUACGGUGAAUACGUUCCCGGGCCUUGUACACACCGCCCGUCACACCAUGGGAGUGGGUUGCAAAAGAAGUAGGUAGCUUAACCUUCGGGAGGGCGCUUACCACUUUUGAUUACCGGG